AAUGUUGUAAAAAUGUAACUACCGAGCGGAAUAGUAGACAAGGCUGCAAAUUAACAAAGAGUUCUAAAUAAAAUAAUUUAUUAUGCAGGAAUAUUAAUUUCAAUUCUUCAAAGUCAAUAUAUAAUUCACACAAUUUAAACCAAGUCAAAGAACCUGCAUAAUGUCAGUGUUUAGACAAAAAUAACAAAUAGCAAUAAAUAUACGUUUCAAUAAUAAAAUGAACAAUUCCAAACUUAGGCCAGGGUUGGGCUAAAAUAGUUUCACGGCAAAAACGCCACCGUCAAAUACAAUGUGUAACGGAAUUCACCGUCUCUUUACACAAUUAAUACCUGAAGAUGUGUAAAUAAAUGCUAAAAUAGCUUAACUUUACUUCUUAAAUCAAUUCACAAUGCCAAACGUGAAAUAAAUAGGUUAGGAGAACGAAAAGCAUCCGAUCUCUGGGACAGUUAAAUUUCAACUUACCAAGUUGUUUACGUUUGUAACCAAGAUGUCAUAUCACGGACUAUUUCCCGUAAUUACUUACAUUUCGCGGAUCUCGUAUACGCGAUCGUUACACUGACAAAUAUGCAUGACCAUUAAUUAUAUACAAUAAAUAGUUUUAUUCCAUAAUAACAAUAUUUCAAUAAGCACACCCGGAAUUAAAUCCCGUAUUUCAGAAAUAACUUCUUUGUUGUGAAAAGAACGACAACUCUUGCACUAAACAUGGAACUACGGUUUGGCGGAAAAUGUGUCAACACAGUAAACUCUACAAAAAACGUUGAUUAAUAAAUUAAACAAGACUAAAAUGUGCUUUACCAGGUCUGUCAUACCUUUACACAAAUUGGGCAAACAGAAAUAAUACUUAAGGGAUGAGAUUUCAUGAGAAAUCAUUAUUAAAUAUCGAGGUUUAACCAAAUACCAUUUCAGUUUCACAACACAUGUAU
RNAcentral lists this long non-coding RNA (923 nucleotides) under Mytilus galloprovincialis (Mediterranean mussel). The record is from RNAcentral. Lineage: Eukaryota; Metazoa; Mollusca; Bivalvia; Mytilida; Mytilidae.